UACUAGCGGUCCAAGUCGCAGCCAUUUUUAUUGGGUCUAAAACAUCCGUAGCUUGCUUAGUAAGUUUUUUGUGAAAUCUUAUGUCUUAAGCAUAAGGCGUGCAAGAAAUACUGCUUAGCUAGAGACUGGAAGAUGUAGGAAGUACGUUUGAAGUAGCGGUAAAAUGUUCUAAUCUCAAACGGACUCACAAUAGCGAAGGCAUCCUACAAGGACAGUUCUGACAGUAAGGGAUGAAGGCUAGGGGCGCAAAACGGAUUAGAUACCCCCGUA
RNAcentral lists this ribosomal RNA (270 nucleotides) under uncultured prokaryote. RNAcentral's name for it is "partial 16S ribosomal RNA". It matches the Rfam family "Archaeal small subunit ribosomal RNA", at positions 474 to 743 of the family's 1478-position model. The record is from RNAcentral.